UUAAGUUAUUAAGGGCGCACGGUGGAUGCCUUGGCACUAGAAGCCGAUGAAGGACGUUACUAACGACGAUAUGCUUUGGGGAGCUGUAAGUAAGCUUUGAUCCAGAGAUUUCCGAAUGGGGAAACCCAGCAUGAGUUAUGUCAUGUUAUCGAUAUGUGAAUACAUAGCAUAUCAGAAGGCACACCCGGAGAACUGAAACAUCUUAGUACCCGGAGGAAGAGAAAGAAAAUUCGAUUCCCUUAGUAGCGGCGAGCGAAACGGGAAGAGCCCAAACCAACAAGCUUGCUUGUUGGGGUUGUAGGACACUCUAUACGGAGUUACAAAGGACGACAUUAGACGAAUCAUCUGGAAAGAUGAAUCAAAGAAGGUAAUAAUCCUGUAGUCGAAAAUGUUGUCUCUCUUGAGUGGAUCCUGAGUACGACGGAGCACGUGAAAUUCCGUCGGAAUCUGGGAGGACCAUCUCCUAAGGCUAAAUACUCUCUAGUGACCGAUAGUGAACCAGUACCGUGAGGGAAAGGUGAAAAGCACCCCGGAAGGGGAGUGAAAUAGAACCUGAAACCGUGUGCUUACAAGUAGUCAGAGCCCGUUAAUGGGUGAUGGCGUGCCUUUUGUAGAAUGAACCGGCGAGUUACGAUUUGAUGCAAGGUUAAGCAGUAAAUGUGGAGCCGUAGCGAAAGCGAGUCUGAAUAGGGCGUUUAGUAUUUGGUCGUAGACCCGAAACCAGGUGAUCUACCCUUGGUCAGGUUGAAGUUCAGGUAACACUGAAUGGAGGACCGAACCGACUUACGUUGAAAAGUGAGCGGAUGAACUGAGGGUAGCGGAGAAAUUCCAAUCGAACCUGGAGAUAGCUGGUUCUCUCCGAAAUAGCUUUAGGGCUAGCCUCAAGUGAUGAUUAUUGGAGGUAGAGCACUGUUUGGACGAGGGGCCCCUCUCGGGUUACCGAAUUCAGACAAACUCCGAAUGCCAAUUAAUUUAACUUGGGAGUCAGAACAUGGGUGAUAAGGUCCGUGUUCGAAAGGGAAACAGCCCAGACCACCAGCUAAGGUCCCAAAAUAUAUGUUAAGUGGAAAAGGAUGUGGCGUUGCCCAGACAACUAGGAUGUUGGCUUAGAAGCAGCCAUCAUUUAAAGAGUGCGUAAUAGCUCACUAGUCGAGUGACACUGCGCCGAAAAUGUACCGGGGCUAAACAUAUUACCGAAGCUGUGGAUUGUCCUUUGGACAAUGGUAGGAGAGCGUUCUAAGGGCGUUGAAGCAUGAUCGUAAGGACAUGUGGAGCGCUUAGAAGUGAGAAUGCCGGUGUGAGUAGCGAAAGACGGGUGAGAAUCCCGUCCACCGAUUGACUAAGGUUUCCAGAGGAAGGCUCGUCCGCUCUGGGUUAGUCGGGUCCUAAGCUGAGGCCGACAGGCGUAGGCGAUGGAUAACAGGUUGAUAUUCCUGUACCACCUAUAAUCGUUUUAAUCGAUGGGGGGACGCAGUAGGAUAGGCGAAGCGUGCGAUUGGAUUGCACGUCUAAGCAGUAAGGCUGAGUAUUAGGCAAAUCCGGUACUCGUUAAGGCUGAGCUGUGAUGGGGAGAAGACAUUGUGUCUUCGAGUCGUUGAUUUCACACUGCCGAGAAAAGCCUCUAGAUAGAAAAUAGGUGCCCGUACCGCAAACCGACACAGGUAGUCAAGAUGAGAAUUCUAAGGUGAGCGAGCGAACUCUCGUUAAGGAACUCGGCAAAAUGACCCCGUAACUUCGGGAGAAGGGGUGCUCUUUAGGGUUAACGCCCAGAAGAGCCGCAGUGAAUAGGCCCAAGCGACUGUUUAUCAAAAACACAGGUCUCUGCUAAACCGUAAGGUGAUGUAUAGGGGCUGACGCCUGCCCGGUGCUGGAAGGUUAAGAGGAGUGGUUAGCUUCUGCGAAGCUACGAAUCGAAGCCCCAGUAAACGGCGGCCGUAACUAUAACGGUCCUAAGGUAGCGAAAUUCCUUGUCGGGUAAGUUCCGACCCGCACGAAAGGCGUAACGAUUUGGGCACUGUCUCAACGAGAGACUCGGUGAAAUCAUAGUACCUGUGAAGAUGCAGGUUACCCGCGACAGGACGGAAAGACCCCGUGGAGCUUUACUGUAGCCUGAUAUUGAAAUUCGGCACAGCUUGUACAGGAUAGGUAGGAGCCUUUGAAACGUGAGCGCUAGCUUACGUGGAGGCGCUGGUGGGAUACUACCCUAGCUGUGUUGGCUUUCUAACCCGCACCACUUAUCGUGGUGGGAGACAGUGUCAGGCGGGCAGUUUGACUGGGGCGGUCGCCUCCUAAAAGGUAACGGAGGCGCUCAAAGGUUCCCUCAGAAUGGUUGGAAAUCAUUCAUAGAGUGUAAAGGCAUAAGGGAGCUUGACUGCGAGACCUACAAGUCGAGCAGGGUCGAAAGACGGACUUAGUGAUCCGGUGGUUCCGCAUGGAAGGGCCAUCGCUCAACGGAUAAAAGCUACCCCGGGGAUAACAGGCUUAUCUCCCCCAAGAGUUCACAUCGACGGGGAGGUUUGGCACCUCGAUGUCGGCUCAUCGCAUCCUGGGGCUGUAGUCGGUCCCAAGGGUUGGGCUGUUCGCCCAUUAAAGCGGUACGCGAGCUGGGUUCAGAACGUCGUGAGACAGUUCGGUCCCUAUCCGUCGUGGGCGUAGGAAAUUUGAGAGGAGCUGUCCUUAGUACGAGAGGACCGGGAUGGACAUACCUCUGGUGUACCAGUUGUCGUGCCAACGGCAUAGCUGGGUAGCUAUGUGUGGACGGGAUAAGUGCUGAAAGCAUCUAAGCAUGAAGCCCCCCUCAAGAUGAGAUUU
Molecule: ribosomal RNA, 2811 nt
Filed under: Staphylococcus aureus VET1422S
Lineage: Bacteria; Bacillati; Bacillota; Bacilli; Caryophanales; Staphylococcaceae
Description: bacterial LSU rRNA
Rfam family: Bacterial large subunit ribosomal RNA
Source: RNAcentral